RNAcentral lists this non-coding RNA (440 nucleotides) under Pan troglodytes (chimpanzee). Lineage: Eukaryota; Metazoa; Chordata; Mammalia; Primates; Hominidae. The record is from RNAcentral.
GAGUCAGUCACCCUUUGGCCAGACAGGCGGUUCCCGGGCGCGGAGGAUGGAAACCUGGCGGUAACCUCUGCAGGUCGUGCCACUCGGUGUGCGCAAGGUCCCCAGAGGCAUCUUUUCAUUUUUAGGGGGCACUUUCCACGAAUUCAUUUGAGUUACACAGCAGUCCUGGGCAGUGGGGAGUGGUGAGCUCCAUUGUAUACACUUGGAAGCAGCCCAGAAAGCUUCUAGCACAGUGCUUUGUGCACAGUAAACACUCCAGCGGCUGUUGACCAAUGAAUGAAUGAAGAUUGUAGGCUCAAAUAUUCAAGUUAUCAAAGUGCAAAGAAUGAGGGGUUGUUUGCACUGGACUUCAAAAAUAAAUAGCCUGGACCUGUACUGUCUUACACAACAGCUAUGAGCUACUGGUAUGUGGCUAGUCCAAACUGAAAUGCCCUUUAAGA